GGUAGUACGAUCGCAAGGUUGAAACUCAAAGGAAUUGANCGGGGACUCGCACCAAGCAGUGGAGCAUGUGGUUUAAUCCGAUGCAACGCGUAGAACCUUACCCAAGGCUUGACAUGUUGGGCAAAGCUAGGGAAACCUAGUAGAGGUUAUCCUAACACAGGUGCUGCAUGGCCGUCGUCAGUUCGUGCCGUGAGGUGUAUGGUUAAUUCCUAUAACGAACGCAACCCUUGUGCUUAGUUGCCAUCAUUAAGUUGGGGACUCUAAGCAGACUGCCCAGGGCAACCUGGAGGAAGGAAAGGAUGACGCCUGGUCGUCAUGGCCCUUAUGCCUUGGGCGACACACGUGCUACAAUGGUUAGUACAAAGGGUUGCCAACCCGCGAGGGGGAGCUAAUCUCAAAAAACUAACCUCAGUUCGGAUUGGAGGCUGCAACUCGCCUCCAUGAAGCCGGAAUUGCUAGUAAUCGCAAAUCAGCCAUGUUGCGGUGAAUACGUUCUCGAGUCUUGUACACACCGCCCGUCAAAUCACGAAAGUCGGUAAUGCCUAAGACCAACUUGCUAACCCGUAAGGGAGGCGGUUGAUAAGGGUAGGAUUGGCAAUUGGGGUUAAGUCGUAACAAGGUACC
RNAcentral lists this ribosomal RNA (624 nucleotides) under uncultured bacterium. RNAcentral's name for it is "bacterial SSU rRNA". It matches the Rfam family "Bacterial small subunit ribosomal RNA", at positions 876 to 1500 of the family's 1533-position model. The record is from RNAcentral.